This 2448-nucleotide ribosomal RNA is filed under the name Triticum aestivum (bread wheat). Its description in RNAcentral is "partial small subunit ribosomal RNA". The record is from RNAcentral. Lineage: Eukaryota; Viridiplantae; Streptophyta; Magnoliopsida; Poales; Poaceae.
AUGCCCGCCGGCGUGCUGGCCGCAGUGCGGUGGUCCACCGCCUGCUCGGCGCUGCUCAACGCCGCCGCCGCGUCCACCGGCGCGGCCGUCGCCGCCCUCGCGCUCCGGGGCCGCUGCGGGGGCGCGCUCGGCCCCGCAGCCGCCGCCGCGUCCGCGGCCUCCGCGGCGAGGCUCCUCGCGUCCGCCGUCGCCGGGUUCGCGCAGGGCCUGGCGGCGAGCGCGAUCGCCGCCGGCGCCAUCGGGGCGCACGUCGACAGCGACCGCGACCUCCGGCAUCUCUCGCGGCUACGAUACAAUAGAUGGCUUUGGUGGGCAAGGUUUGGGAUGGUGAUUACAGUGCUCCAAUUUGUGCUGGCACUUUAUUUGAUGUGUAUUAUUGUAAAGGAUUUCUCAUCUGGGAAGUCAUUGAAGGAGUGUUUUUCAGGACACGACAAGGACGUCAAUGACUGGAAGAACAUCUUGUUAAUGAUUUUUCUUGUUGUCAUGUGGGUGGGAACAAUAGUCCAGUGUGCCACAGGUUCCGAUGUAUUAAGAUGGAGGUCCUUUUAUGCAACCCAUGAUAUUGCAUGGAGGGCUCACUACAGGGAGGUGUUUGAUCAUGGCAUUCGUGAGGUUUUAUGUUGUCUAGGACGAGUGAAGUACUCGAGUGUACUGGAAGAUGACGAUAUAUGUGUCGUGGCAAAACUGUUGGGAGAUAUUAUGGCUUAUCGUGCAUCUGGAACUGGUCAUCUUGAGCUCAUAGCAGGGUUUUCAUUGUUGCAGAAAUCCAAGAUGUCGACAGUUCUUUCAAGAGAGCAAGUGGAAGCUCCUCCUGAUCUCAUCCAAGAGGCUAUUCUGUUUCAUCCAUUUGCUGAAGCUGCCUAUACAGGUCCGCUACUUGAUUUUGGGAGGAAUCCUCUUAUGUUUCCCUGUGUUUGGCUCAAUAGGCAAGGUAUUUUAACUCCAUGGACUCGUGCUAGACGACCAAUCCUUGAAGGAGAUAAUUGGUGGAGAGGGCAUGCAGCGGCUUUCCUAAAGUAUGUCAAUGUGCCCCCAGAAGUUCUUCGGAAAGGGCGUGUUAGCCAGACAAAACGUGAGGCUGCCUACUUUGUUAUUGUCUUACAUAACUUGAGAACAGUAGUCAUUGCCAUUCGUGGAACUGAGACUCCAGAAGAUGUUAUAACCGAUGGCUUGUGUAGGGAAUGCUCUCUUACCAUGGAUGACUUGGAUGGGCUGAUCAAUUCUGAUCAGUUGCCCCCUCAAGUGAAGGAGGCUGUCCUCUCGUCUUUUCCACACUAUGGGCAUGCAGGAAUUAUUGAAUCGGCUCGAGAAUUGUACACAAAGCUUGAAGGGCAGUCCAUUCAUCAAGAUAAGUCAGAGCUUAUGACAGCUGGGUUCUUAUCUUCGCUGCUCGGAGCUGGAUGUGAGUGUGAUGGAUACAAUAUUGAAAUUGUUGGACAUUCUCUAGGAGGUGCUGUAGCUGCACUUCUUGGUAUUAGGCUAUAUAAACAGUUUCCAAAAUUACAUGUCUUUACUUAUGGAGCUGCACCCUGUGUGGAUUUCGUGAUAGCAGAUGCAUGCUCACAGUUUGUUACCAGCAUUGUCCACAACGAUGAAUUUUCCUCAAGAUUAUCCAUGAAUUCGGUAAUUCGAUUACGUGGUGCUGCUAUCAAAGCUUUAACAAAGGAUACUUCGCCAAAUUCUACUAAAGUUAGCAAACUAGUGAGUGGCUUCACGAGCAACAAAAGGCAUGAUGAACAACACGCUGUGGUUCGAUGUGCUUCUUCUGGUGCUCUUCAGACAGUCAGCGAUGCAAAGCAAAGUAAUGGUCAAAUCCAUGGAAAGAGUGUAAUGCAUACAGUUAGAGGUGGUGUGUUCCUCUUUGGUCAAGCGAUAUCUUGCUUGGUAAAUACUCCAAAACAUAGAAUUAGCUCCACUGCGGCAAUUAACUAUGAGUUGGGACGAUCUAGAACAACAUUAACCUAUAAUGGUGAAAAAUUGACUGUUGCUUCCCGUGGUGUUCUGGAUGGUGCACCUUCUGGAGAACCUAGUGAUGCAUACAGAGAUGACAAGUUUCCAGAAGCUGGCUUGGAUGAAUCCGAAAGUAGUUACAGGUUACCUCAUUCAAAUAACAGUGCUGAGCUCUCAUCUGCUCCGGAUCACACGUGUAUAAUAAGUUUAUCUGAAGGGCAGUCGCCAGAUGUGUACCUCCCUGGCCUCAUUAUUCAUAUCGUUCCCAUAAAGAAUGGUACUUCUCCAUUGCGGAAGACACUUGUGACUCGUCACAAGAACAAGAGUUAUAAAGCAUUUAUGGCGAAUCGGCAGGAUUUUAUGGACCUUGUUGUAACCCCUCGCAUGUUCCUUGAUCAUCUCCCGUGGAGGUGUCACUAUGCCAUGCAAAGGGUUAUAGAAACACGGAAACGGAACCAGCCCAUUCUCAACUCAUCCAGUGGAGAGGAUUCUGUCUAA